RNAcentral lists this long non-coding RNA (647 nucleotides) under Prunus persica (peach). RNAcentral describes it as "long non-coding RNA (PPER_LNC004782)". The record is from RNAcentral. Lineage: Eukaryota; Viridiplantae; Streptophyta; Magnoliopsida; Rosales; Rosaceae.
UUAAUGUGGUCAAUGUUGUGUGUCCAAAUAGCAUAGAAUAUUAGUUUUUUUUUUUUUUUCCAUUUUUGAUUUUUUUAUAUUAACAAGUAAUUACAUUAUUUAAUUAUUUAAUUUAAUUUAUUAUUAUUAAUAUUUGGCUUUUUAUCACAAAACGUCUCUGACAUUUACGAAACUAGCAUCCUUAAAGUUUUUUUGUAUCACUCAUGGUCCCUAACGUUAAUAUGGGUGCUCUUAAAUAGUCCUUCUGUCAAAAAAACUGUUAAAUUCAGGGAUAUAAUUAUCAAAUCAAUCCAAAAUUAUAAAAUAUAUAUUAUUUCCUUUCCUUCUCUAUUUCUUCUUCGUCGUUCUCAUCAAUAAGUUCCUACUCUACAGGGAGAAUGCAUAUCUCCAAAAUCCAAAACGAUGUGAAUGUCACUGUACGGCAGAAACCAAAGCAUGCGAAAGGCAAUUAGUAAACUAGUACUUAGCCAAAAUAAUAAGGUAGCUUAUGCAGAACAUUUCAUUCAAGAUCCGCAGAAUAGUAAAACAUUUGAGCCAAAAUAUUUAGAUUAUUAAUGAAAUCUAGUAUGCCAUUCUACAAAGGAAAGGCAAACGGAAACCUGGAGAAGUCCUCAAGAAAUUCAUGAUGAUCACUCCCUUGCCCUUGC